GCCAGUGUGGUGUAAUGGUUUGACUGCUGGACCAUGACUCUCAAGACCAGAGUUCAAAUCCCUGCUCUGCCA
Non-coding RNA from Phrynosoma platyrhinos (Desert horned lizard), 72 nucleotides. The record is from the annotation of a GenBank genome assembly. Lineage: Eukaryota; Metazoa; Chordata; Lepidosauria; Squamata; Phrynosomatidae.